This 301-nucleotide ribosomal RNA is filed under the name uncultured bacterium. RNAcentral describes it as "partial 16S ribosomal RNA". It matches the Rfam family "Bacterial small subunit ribosomal RNA", at positions 509 to 807 of the family's 1533-position model. The record is from RNAcentral.
CAGUAGCCGCGGUAAUACGAAGGGGGCUAGCGUUGUUCGGAUUUACUGGGCGUAAAGGGCGCGUAGGCGGGCGAAUAAGUCAGGGGUGAAAUCCCAAGGCUCAACCUUGGAACUGCCUUUGAUACUGUUUGUCUUGAGUUCGAGAGAGGUAAGUGGAACUGCGAGUGUAGAGGUGGAAUUCGUAGAUAUUGGGAAGAACACCGGUGGCGAAGGCGGCAACCUGGUCCUUGACUGACGCUGAGGCGCGAAAGCGUGGGGAGCAAACAGGAUUAGAUACCCCCGUAGUCCCUGUCUCUUAUAC